UUACCUCAUGCAGGUCGAGCGCGCCCCCCCUCGUCGCUCCUUCGGGAGAGCGAGGCGGCGCGCGUCACGCAUCAGACCUCUAAUCGGAAAAGACUACCCGCUGAGUUUAA
RNAcentral lists this ribosomal RNA (110 nucleotides) under Leucodon sciuroides. RNAcentral's name for it is "partial 26S ribosomal RNA". The record is from RNAcentral. Lineage: Eukaryota; Viridiplantae; Streptophyta; Bryopsida; Hypnales; Leucodontaceae.